This is a long non-coding RNA of Lolium perenne, 1336 nucleotides long. RefSeq lists it as uncharacterized. NCBI's taxonomy places the organism in Eukaryota, Viridiplantae, Streptophyta, Magnoliopsida, Poales, Poaceae. The record is from RefSeq and is a predicted model, not a curated record.
CUCGUGGCGGCUGCGGCUGCGGCUGCCGAUUUAGCCGCUGCGCGACCUCGGACGGCGGCGGGGCGUCGAGCUGGAAGCGGGAGAGUUGGAGAUGCCCGCAUCGACCACGGGUCCGGUGGCGAUGAGCGGCUGCACGCGUCGAAUCGCAGGCUUCUUUCUUCGUGGCAUCCGAUUGCUCCGUGCCGCGUCAUGAAUUGCAGUUGCAGGAUGAUACUGCUGCUACGCCUGGAGGUCGGGGUAGGCCUCUGUCUCGUGGGCGUGGGCGCACUGGUGGAUGCCCCGGCUCUUGCAAUCUCCUUCCACGCUAUUUGCCACCGCUUCCAUAAAAGGAGCGGAAGGGCCUCACAACAUUGUUCGGGCAAUGGCAAGAAGGAGUCCCAUGUGACUACAGAUAGCAUGGCCGACCGGCCGACUGGCCGGCAGUUUGGUGUCGACGCUCCGUCAAUAUUUCGUCCUCAAUACAGUUUCCUCCAUGCUAUGGCCGGAUCAUAGGAGGACGUGGUGUACCAAUGGAAGUUUCAGCCAAAUCAGUGGCCUGUUGUGGUUGGGUAAUUAGGAUAUAAGUACUGUGGUUUGCAACAACAGAUGCUGCAGGCACUUCCAAUGGUAUAUUCCAGAAAGACAAGUAAGAACUUAUUAGUUCAGUUGCUAAAUUCUUAUUUCAGUAUUUUGUUAAACCAACAAUCUAACCUACCUCUUCUGCAGUUCUUUGUUAUAACCUGUCCGUUCUAAGUCAUAUGUACUUCCUCUUCAACACUAUGAUUUGUACCAGUUUUCAGAUAAACAAAUGUUCUUGACCUCUCUUUUCUUUAAUAGGAAUUCGUGGAAAAUAUUUCCUCUCAACAUAUUGUCAGUUCUAGCUUAUGACUUUCAGGUGGAUGAUUGCUCAAUUUCUGAACGGACUAUUUCUUAUGAAUUACCUCAGAAAAGGUUGAGGCCCUUGGCCGGUGUCAUCAGCCAGAUGGACAAUCUAAAGCUGGAGCUUUGAGACAGACUAGAUUCUUCUAUGACUGAUGUACAUAUUCCAUCUAUUUAUCCGAACUAUAUCUCCUUUGAAGACAGAAGUCUGAUAUAAUCGUUUCAUCAGUGGUUGGCAUCGCUACAUGCUAUACAUCUUUGGGCAGACCAUUUUGAACUUUAUCAAAGAGAGUUAUAUUUUAGUCAGAGAUUGAGGUUGCUAUUGAGCCACAAUUCCUUAGUGCUCCUAUGAAACACUAAUGUAUAUUACAUUUGUAUAAUUGUUUUCUGGCAAGCUUCACAUGAGUAUGACUAAUUGCCAAGUCCAUUCAAAGUACUAUGUAAAAUAUAUGGCGCAUAUACAAAAUAAAGUUACACA